RNAcentral lists this ribosomal RNA (626 nucleotides) under uncultured bacterium. RNAcentral describes it as "bacterial SSU rRNA". It matches the Rfam family "Bacterial small subunit ribosomal RNA", at positions 338 to 956 of the family's 1533-position model. The record is from RNAcentral.
CCUACGGGAGGCAGCAGUGGGGAAUUUUGGACAAUGGGCGAAAGCCUGAUCCAGCAAUGCCGCGUGCAGGAAGAAGGCCUUCGGGUUGUAAACUGCUUUUGUACGGAACGAAACGGUCCGCUUUAAUACAGUGGGCUAAUGACGGUACCGUAAGAAUAAGCACCGGCUAACUACGUGCCAGCAGCCGCGGUAAUACGUAGGGUGCGAGCGUUAAUCGGAAUUACUGGGCGUAAAGCGUGCGCAGGCGGUUAUAUAAGACAGUUGUGAAAUCCCCGGGCUCAACCUGGGAAUUGCAUCUGUGACUGUAUAGCUAGAGUACGGUAGAGGGGGAUGGAAUUCCGCGUGUAGCAGUGAAAUGCGUAGAUAUGCGGAGGAACACCGAUGGCGAAGGCAAUCCCCUGGACCUGUACUGACGCUCAUGCACGAAAGCGUGGGGAGCAAACAGGAUUAGAUACCCUGGUAGUCCACGCCCUAAACGAUGUCAACUGGUUGUUGGGUGCAUUAGUACUCAGUAACGAAGCUAACGCGUGAAGUUGACCGCCUGGGGAGUACGGACCGCAAGGUUGAAACGUACAAGUAGUAGUAGGACGUGAGAGAGACGACGACGACGACGACGGAGGAGGAGG